RNAcentral lists this ribosomal RNA (327 nucleotides) under uncultured eukaryote. RNAcentral's name for it is "partial 18S ribosomal RNA". It matches the Rfam family "Eukaryotic small subunit ribosomal RNA", at positions 1470 to 1796 of the family's 1831-position model. The record is from RNAcentral.
CCCUUAGAUGUUCUGGGCCGCACGCGCGCUACACUGACGAAUGCAACGAGCUUAUAACCUUGGCCGAAAGGUCUGGGUAAUCUCCAAAUUUCGUCGUGAUGGGGAUAGAUUAUUGCAAUUAUUAAUCUUUAACGAGGAAUGCCUAGUAAGCGCAAGUCAUCAGCUUGCGUUGAUUACGUCCCUGCCCUUUGUACACACCGCCCGUCGCUCCUACCGAUUGAAUGGUCCGGUGAAGCGCUCGGACCGCGGCCUCUUGACGGUUUUCCGUCGAUUGGCUGUGGGAAGUUCGUUAAACCUUAUCAUUUAGAGGAAGGAGAAGUCGUANCA